Molecule: ribosomal RNA, 1181 nt
Filed under: Prevotella sp. oral clone AO096
Lineage: Bacteria; Pseudomonadati; Bacteroidota; Bacteroidia; Bacteroidales; Prevotellaceae
Description: bacterial SSU rRNA
Rfam family: Bacterial small subunit ribosomal RNA
Source: RNAcentral
CCCCCACAUUGGAACUGAGACACGGUCCAAACUCCUACGGGAGGCAGCAGUGAGGAAUAUUGGUCAAUGGACGAGAGUCUGAACCAGCCAAGUAGCGUGCAGGACGACGGCCCUAUGGGUUGUAAACUGCUUUUAUAGGGGAAUAAAGUGAUCCACGUGUGGAUUAUUGUAUGUACCCUAUGAAUAAGGACCGGCUAAUUCCGUGCCAGCAGCCGCGGUAAUACGGAAGGUUCGGGCGUUAUCCGGAUUUAUUGGGUUUAAAGGGAGCGUAGGCCGUAGAUUAAGCGUGUUGUGAAAUGUAGAUGCUCAACAUCUGACUUGCAGCGCGAACUGGUUUACUUGAGUGUGCACAACGUAGGCGGAAUUCGUCGUGUAGCGGUGAAAUGCUUAGAUAUGACGAAGAACUCCGAUUGCGAAGGCAGCUUACGGGAGCACAACUGACGCUGAAGCUCGAAGGUGCGGGUAUCAAACAGGAUUAGAUACCCUGGUAGUCCGCACAGUAAACGCUGGAUGCCCGCUGUUGGUUCAUUAGAGUCAGCGGCCAAGCGAAAGCAUUAAGCAUCCCACCUGGGGAGUACGCCGGCAACGGUGAAACUCAAAGGAAUUGACGGGGGCCCGCACAAGCGGAGGAACAUGUGGUUUAAUUCGAUGAUACGCGAGGAACCUUACCCGGGCUUGAAUUGCAGACGAACGCGGUAGAGAUGCCAAGGCCCUUCGGGGCGUCUGUGAAGGUGCUGCAUGGUUGUCGUCAGCUCGUGCCGUGAGGUGUCGGCUUAAGUGCCAUAACGAGCGCAACCCCUUUUCUUAGUUGCCAUCAGGUUAUGCUGGGCACUCUGGGAAUACUGCCACCGUAAGGUGUGAGGAAGGUGGGGAUGACGUCAGAUCAGCACGGCCCUUACGUCCGGGGCUACACACGUGUUACAAUGGCCGGUACAGAGGGCAGGUUGCAUGUAAAUGCGAUCGAAUCUUAAAAGCCGGUCCCAGUUCGGACUGAGGUCUGCAACCCGACCUCACGAAGCUGGAUUCGCUAGUAAUCGCGCAUCAGCCAUGGCGCGGUGAAUACGUUCCCGGGCCUUGUACACACCGCCCGUCAAGCCAUGAAAGCCGGGGGUGCCUAAAGUCCGUUACCGCAAGGAUCGGCCUAGGGCAAAACUGGUAAUUGGGGCUAAGUCGUAACAAGG